AAAUAUACACUGUAAAAUUUUUCCAGGAUUUCACAAGAUAUAACUGUAAUAUUUCACAGUUAAUUACAUUAUUACCACUUCACAGGCUUUAACUGUGAUAAUUCACAAUAUAAUACCGUAUUUAGACUUUUACUGUGAAAAUAAUGCAGGCGCGGGGCUUUUACAAGAAACUACUGUGAAUGCCGUCUUUUUUGAGUGGCAACUGCGGCAGCGUCAUCAGAGCGUCAUCAGAGCUCUCUGAUCUACGUGGUCUCAUUCGGUGGAUUCAGACAGCGCAUUUUCUACAUUGACCAACGAUAAAUAAAGUUAUAAGGUGCUUCUUGGGCAUCAACCCAGAGACGGGCACAAAAUCUAAGAGGCAGAGAGGUCACAUGAACCAGCAAGUCUGCACUCUUAUCAGGAAGCUCAUUGACUUCGAAUGGAUGUCAAUCUAAUUGGAUAGAACCCACACUAUGCAGGUUCCAGCUGCGAGGGAAGGAGAGAGACACCUGCGACCCUCUCUAUUCCCACCUUUUUGUCUUUUCUUACAUCUCUCUCCCUCACUCUCUCUUCUCUGUCUCCUUUCUCUUUUGACACACAUUCCUGUUACCCAGUGUCAAUCCCUGUUGCCCAGUGUUUUAUUCAUGUAAUUAAAUUGUAUUUUACUUCUAAAAAAUAAAAGUUAUGUCACUGUUUUUA
This is a long non-coding RNA of Carassius gibelio (silver crucian carp), 678 nucleotides long. RefSeq lists it as uncharacterized. The record is from RefSeq and is a predicted model, not a curated record. The transcript is spliced from 4 exons. Lineage: Eukaryota; Metazoa; Chordata; Actinopteri; Cypriniformes; Cyprinidae.